This 447-nucleotide long non-coding RNA is filed under the name Vulpes vulpes (red fox). RNAcentral describes it as "lncRNA (ENSVVUG00000003170.1)". The record is from RNAcentral. Lineage: Eukaryota; Metazoa; Chordata; Mammalia; Carnivora; Canidae.
CGGAUUCAGGUUGGCAUGGGAACUGCACAGAAUGUUAAGCAACAAACAGAAAAAAACCAAAGCAUGUGUCAAAUGAACCUAAGAAAUAGAUGGCUCAGGAGAUGGUGUUAGCAUUGGAAAGAACAAAACAUGAAUCUGAAGCCUUCUACCACACAGCCCUCUCAAGAUAACUGGCCAUGACUGUGUCUGAUAGCCAAACUACAGAUGUAAGUGACAAGAAUCUUUUCAUACUGCUAUGCCCAGAAGUGAAUGUGGACUAAGGGCCAUACGACAGGCUUUAAUAAUGGAAAUAUGCAUAGAAGUGAACGUGCCAGCUCCCAGCAAAGGACUACAUGGGAUGUUUUGAAUUCUGUUGAUUAUCACAAUCAAAUCAUGCCUCAGAUAGCAAGAUUGGGAAGCCUGGAUCUUAUGAAAAGAACAGACAAAUAUAGCCAGAUAUACCCCUAG